AGGCGGCAUUCUGGAGAGACUCGCGCGGCCCAUACGGACACGCCGCGGGCGCCGAAGGUGAACACCCGCACACGGGCUAACUCUCAGGCAAAAGGACAGAAGGGCGGUG
Molecule: non-coding RNA, 109 nt
Filed under: Pollutimonas bauzanensis
Lineage: Bacteria; Pseudomonadati; Pseudomonadota; Betaproteobacteria; Burkholderiales; Alcaligenaceae
Description: Candidimonas bauzanensis Glycine sequence
Rfam family: Glycine riboswitch aptamer
About the family: This family represents the bacterial glycine riboswitch.
Source: Rfam by way of RNAcentral